Molecule: ribosomal RNA, 430 nt
Filed under: Verrucomicrobiota bacterium
Lineage: Bacteria; Pseudomonadati; Verrucomicrobiota
Description: Verrucomicrobia bacterium partial 16S ribosomal RNA
Rfam family: Bacterial small subunit ribosomal RNA
Source: RNAcentral
UAGGGAAUCUUCGGCAAUGGGGGGAACCCUGACCGAGCAACGCCGCGUGAGUGAAGAAGGCUUUCGGAUCGUAAAGCCCUGUUGUUAAGGAAGAACGAGUGUGAGAAUGGAAAGUUCAUGCUGUGACGGUACUUAACCAGAAAGGGACGGCUAACUACGUGCUAGCAGCCGCGGUAAUACGUAGGUCCCGAGCGUUGUCCGGAUUUUUUGGGCGUAAAGCGCGCGCAGGUGGUUUGGAAAGUCUGAUGUGAACGCCCACGGCUGAACCGUGGAGGGUCAUUGGAAACUAAUAAACUUGAGUGCAGGAGGGAGAAGUCGAAUUCCUAGUGUGGCGGUGAAAUGCGUAGAGAUUAGGAAGCACACCGAUGGCAAAAGCGGCUUUUUGGCCUGCAACUGACACUGAGGCUCGAAAGCGUGGGGAGCAAACAGG